UGGGGAAUAUUGGACAAUGGGCGCAAGCCUGAUCCAGCCAUGCCGCGUGUGUGAAGAAGGCCUUUUGGUUGUAAAGCACUUUAAGCGAGGAGGAGGCUACUUGGAUUAAUACUCUAGGAUAGUGGACGUUACUCGCAGAAUAAGCACCGGCUAACUCUGUGCCAGCAGCCGUGGUAAUACAGAGGGUGCGAGCGUUAAUCGGUUUUACUGGGCGUAAAGCGUGCGUAGGCGGCUUCUUAAGUCGGAUGGGAAAUCCCUGAGCUUAACUUAGGAAUUGCAUUCGAUACUGGGAAGCUAGAGUAUGGGAGAGGAUGGUAGGAUUCCAGGUGUAGCGGUGAAAUGCGUAGAGAACUGGAGGAAUACCGAUGGCGAAGGCAGCCAUCUGGCCUAAUACUGACGCUGAGGUACGAAAGCAUGGGGAGCAAACAGG
This 430-nucleotide ribosomal RNA is filed under the name bacterium. Its description in RNAcentral is "partial 16S ribosomal RNA". It matches the Rfam family "Bacterial small subunit ribosomal RNA", at positions 355 to 776 of the family's 1533-position model. The record is from RNAcentral.